This 492-nucleotide ribosomal RNA is filed under the name uncultured bacterium. RNAcentral describes it as "partial 16S ribosomal RNA". It matches the Rfam family "Bacterial small subunit ribosomal RNA", at positions 30 to 523 of the family's 1533-position model. The record is from RNAcentral.
AUUGAACGCUGGCGGCAUGCCUUACACAUGCAAGUCGAACGGUAACAGGUUAAGCUGACGAGUGGCGAACGGGUGAGUAAUAUAUCGGAACGUGCCCAGUCGUGGGGAUAACGUAGCGAAAGCUACGCUAAUACCGCAUACGAUCUACGGAUGAAAGCGGGGGAUCGCAAGACCUCGCGCGAUUGGAGCGGCCGAUAUCAGAUUGGGUAGUUGGUGGGGUAAAGGCCCACCAAGCCAGCGAUCUGUAGCUGGUCUGAGAGGACGACCAGCCACACUGGAACUGAGACACGGUCCAGACUCCUACGGGAGGCAGCAGUGGGGAAUUUUGGACAAUGGGCGAAAGCCUGAUCCAGCCAUUCCGCGUGCAGGAUGAAGGCCCUCGGGUUGUAAACUGCUUUUGUACAGAGCGAAAAGGUUUCUACUAAUACUAGGAGCUCAUGACGGUACUGUAAGAAUAAGCACCGGCUAACUACGUGCCAGCAGCCGCAGUAA